AGAGUUUGAUUAUGGCUCAGAGCGAACGCUGGCGGCAGGCUAACACAUGCAAGUCGAGCGCACUUCGGGUGAGCGGCGGACGGGUUAGUAACGCGUGGGAAUAUACCCAAAGGUACGGAAUAGCCUCUGGAAACGGAGAGUAAUACCGUAUGUGCCCUUCGGGGGAAAGAUUUAUCGCCUUUGGAUUAGCCCGCGUUGGAUUAGGUAGUUGGUGGGGUAAUGGCCUACCAAGCCUACGAUCCAUAGCUGGUUUGAGAGGAUGAUCAGCAACACUGGGACUGAGACACGGCCCAGACUCCUACGGGAGGCAGCAGUGGGGAAUCUUAGACAAUGGGCGCAAGCCUGAUCUAGCCAUGCCGCGUGAGUGACGAAGGCCUUAGGGUCGUAAAGCUCUUUCGCCAGAGAUGAUAAUGACAGUAUCUGGUAAAGAAACCCCGGCUAACUCCGUGCCAGCAGCCGCGGUAAUACGGAGGGGGUUAGCGUUGUUCGGAAUUACUGGGCGUAAAGCGUACGUAGGCGGAUUAAUCAGUCAGAGGUGAAAUCCCAGGGCUCAACCCUGGAACUGCCUUUGAUACUGUUAGUCUUGAGUUCGAGAGAGGUGAGUGGAAUUCCAAGUGUAGAGGUGAAAUUCGUAGAUAUUUGGAGGAACACCAGUGGCGAAGGCGGCUCACUGGCUCGAUACUGACGCUGAGGUACGAAAGUGUGGGGAGCAAACAGGAUUAGAUACCCUGGUAGUCCACACCGUAAACGAUGAAUGCCAGACGUCGGGGGGCUUGCCCUUCGGUGUCACACCUAACGGAUUAAGCAUUCCGCCUGGGGAGUACGGUCGCAAGAUUAAAACUCAAAUGAAUUGACGG
RNAcentral lists this ribosomal RNA (857 nucleotides) under uncultured bacterium. RNAcentral describes it as "bacterial SSU rRNA". It matches the Rfam family "Bacterial small subunit ribosomal RNA", at positions 8 to 916 of the family's 1533-position model. The record is from RNAcentral.